This 253-nucleotide ribosomal RNA is filed under the name uncultured bacterium. RNAcentral's name for it is "partial 16S ribosomal RNA". It matches the Rfam family "Bacterial small subunit ribosomal RNA", at positions 524 to 776 of the family's 1533-position model. The record is from RNAcentral.
UACGUAGGGGGCAAGCGUUGUCCGGAUUUACUGGGCGUAAAGCGCGUUCAGGCGGUUUGGCAAGUCGGGCAUGAAAUCUCUCGGCUCAACCGGGAGAGGUUGUCCGAUACUGCUGGACUUGAGGGCAGUAGAGGGUGGUGGAAUUCCGGGUGUAGUGGUGAAAUGCGUAGAUAUCCGGAGGAACACCAGUGGCGAAAGCGGCCACCUGGACUGCACCUGACGCUGACACGCGAAAGCUAGGGGAGCGAACGGG